This 865-nucleotide ribosomal RNA is filed under the name Aeribacillus sp. RNAcentral describes it as "bacterial SSU rRNA". It matches the Rfam family "Bacterial small subunit ribosomal RNA", at positions 56 to 902 of the family's 1533-position model. The record is from RNAcentral. Lineage: Bacteria; Bacillati; Bacillota; Bacilli; Caryophanales; Bacillaceae.
UGCAGUCGAGCGGACCGAAGGGAGCUUGCUCCUUUAGGUUAGCGGCGGACGGGUGAGUAACACGUGGGCAACCUGCCCUGCAGACUGGGAUAACUUCGGGAAACCGGAGCUAAUACCGGAUAACACCGAAAACCGCAUGGUUUUCGGUUGAAAGGCGGCUUUUAGCUGUCACUGCAGGAUGGGCCCGCGGCGCAUUAGCUAGUUGGUGAGGUAACGGCUCACCAAGGCGACGAUGCGUAGCCGACCUGAGAGGGUGACCGGCCACACUGGGACUGAGACACGGCCCAGACUCCUACGGGAGGCAGCAGUAGGGAAUCUUCCGCAAUGGACGAAAGUCUGACGGAGCAACGCCGCGUGAGCGAAGAAGGUCUUCGGAUCGUAAAGCUCUGUUGUCAGGGAAGAACAAGUACCGUUCGAACAGGGCGGUACCUUGACGGUACCUGACGAGGAAGCCACGGCUAACUACGUGCCAGCAGCCGCGGUAAUACGUAGGUGGCAAGCGUUGUCCGGAAUUAUUGGGCGUAAAGCGCGCGCAGGCGGUUCCUUAAGUCUGAUGUGAAAUCUCGCGGCUCAACCGCGAGCGGCCAUUGGAAACUGGGGAACUUGAGUGCAGGAGAGGGGAGCGGAAUUCCACGUGUAGCGGUGAAAUGCGUAGAGAUGUGGAGGAACACCAGUGGCGAAGGCGGCUCUCUGGCCUGUAACUGACGCUGAGGCGCGAAAGCGUGGGGAGCGAACAGGAUUAGAUACCCUGGUAGUCCACGCCGUAAACGAUGAGUGCUAAGUGUUAGAGGGUAUCCACCCUUUAGUGCUGCAGCAAACGCAUUAAGCACUCCGCCUGGGGAGUACGGCCGCAAGGCUGAAACUC